RNAcentral lists this transfer RNA (90 nucleotides) under Anaerotignum faecicola. RNAcentral describes it as "tRNA-Ser". It matches the Rfam family "tRNA". Rfam says of the family: Transfer RNA (tRNA) molecules are approximately 80 nucleotides in length. Their secondary structure includes four short double-helical elements and three loops (D, anti-codon, and T loops). RNAcentral also lists the same sequence under 1 other name. Lineage: Bacteria; Bacillati; Bacillota; Clostridia; Lachnospirales; Anaerotignaceae. The record is from RNAcentral.
GGAGAUGUACCCAAGUGGCUGAAGGGACUGGUCUCGAAAACCGGCAGGCGGGCGCAAACCCGUGCGUGGGUUCAAAUCCCACCAUCUCCG